RNAcentral lists this ribosomal RNA (254 nucleotides) under uncultured bacterium. Its description in RNAcentral is "partial 16S ribosomal RNA". It matches the Rfam family "Bacterial small subunit ribosomal RNA", at positions 524 to 776 of the family's 1533-position model. The record is from RNAcentral.
UACAGAGGGUGCGAGCGUUGUUCGGAAUUACUGGGCGUAAAGCGCGCGCAGGCGGCUCUUUAAGUCCGCCGGUGAAAUGCCGGGGCUCAACCCCGUGCCCGCCGCGGAUACUGGGGAGCUGGAGACGAGUAGAGGCAAGCGGAAUUCCGGGUGUAGCGGUGGAAUGCGUAGAGAUCCGGAAGAACACCGGAGGCGAAGGCGGCUUGCUGGGCUCGGUCUGACGCUGAGGCGCGAAAGCGUGGGGAGCGAACAGG